GCGGAGGAAAAGAAACCAACUGGGAUUGCCUCAGUAACGGCGAGUGAAGCGGCAACAGCUCAAAUUUGAAAUCUGGCGCCUUGGGCGUCCGAGUUGUAAUUUGUAGAGGGAGUCUCGGGUUAAGGGUCGGUCCAAGUGCCUUGGAACAGGAUACCGAAGAGGGUGAGAGUCCCGUAUCCGGCCGACGCCAGCGCCCGUGUGAGGCCCCUUCGACGAGUCGAGUUGUUUGGGAAUGCAGCUCUAAAUGGGUGGUAAAUUCCAUCUAAAGCUAAAUACUGGCCAGAGACCGAUAGCGCACAAGUAGAGUGAUCGAAAGAUGAAAAGCACUUUGAAAAGAGAGUCAAACAGUACGUGAAAUUGUUGAAAGGGAAGCGUAUGUGGGCAGACUUGGACGCUGGAUUCAGGCCGCCUUCUGGCGGGUGUAUUUUCCAGCGGACAGGCCAGCAUCGGUUCUGAGGGCCGGACAAAGACGAAGGGAAUGUGGCUCCUCUCUGGGGAGUGUUAUAGCCCGGCGUGCAAUGCGGCCACUUGGACCGAGGACCGCGCAUUU
This 550-nucleotide ribosomal RNA is filed under the name Verruconis gallopava. RNAcentral's name for it is "eukaryotic LSU rRNA". It matches the Rfam family "Eukaryotic large subunit ribosomal RNA", at positions 50 to 604 of the family's 3401-position model. Lineage: Eukaryota; Fungi; Ascomycota; Dothideomycetes; Venturiales; Sympoventuriaceae. The record is from RNAcentral.